Molecule: unclassified non-coding RNA, 298 nt
Filed under: Coprinellus sp.
Lineage: Eukaryota; Fungi; Basidiomycota; Agaricomycetes; Agaricales; Psathyrellaceae
Also listed under: 3 other names
Description: partial contains 5.8S ribosomal RNA, internal transcribed spacer 2, and large subunit ribosomal RNA
Rfam family: 5.8S ribosomal RNA (bases 1-52)
Source: RNAcentral
AACGCACCUUGCGCUCCUUGGUAUUCCGAGGAGCAUGCCUGUUUGAGUGUCAUUAAAUUCUCAACCUCACCCGUUUUCUGAACGGUACCCGAGGCUUGGAUGUGGGGGUUUGUGCAGGCUGCCUCAGCGCUGGUCUGCUCCCCUGAAAUGCAUUAGCGAGUUCAUACUGAACCUCCGUCUAUUGGUGUGAUAAUUAUCUACGCCGUGGACUGGGUUUAGACUCGCUUCUAACCGUCCGCAAGGACAAUACCUUUGACAAUUUGACCUCAAAUCAGGUAGGACUACCCGCUGAACUUAA